CUGGGCGUAAGAGCUCGUAGGCGGUUUGUCGCGUCUGCUGUGAAAGACCGGGGCUCAACUCCGGUUCUGCAGUGGGUACGGGCAGACUAGAGUGCAGUAGGGGAGACUGGAAUUCCUGGUGUAGCGGUGAAAUGCGCAGAUAUCAGGAGGAACACCGAUGGCGAAGGCAGGUCUCUGGGCUGUAACUGACGCUGAGGAGCGAAAGCAUGGGGAGCGAACAGGAUUAGAUACCCUGGUAGUCCAUGCCGUAAACGUUGGGCACUAGGUGUGGGGGACAUUCCACGUUUUCCGCGCCGUAGCUAACGCAUUAAGUGCCCCGCCUGGGGAGUACGGCCGCAAGGCUAAAACUCAAAGGAAUUGACGGGGGCCCGCACAAGCGGCGGAGCAUGCGGAUUAAUUCGAUGCAACGCGAAGAACCUUACCAAGGCUUGACAUGAACCGGUAAUACCUGGAAACAGGUGCCCCGCUUGCGGUCGGUUUACAGGUGGUGCAUGGUUGUCGUCAGCUCGUGUCGUGAGAUGUUGGGUUAAGUCCCGCAACGAGCGCAACCCUCGUUCUAUGUUGCCAGCGCGUUAUGGCGGGGACUCAUAGGAGACUGCCGGGGUCAACUCGGAGGAAGGUGGGGACGACGUCAAAUCAUCAUGCCCCUUAUGUCUUGGGCUUCACGCAUGCUACAAUGGCCGGUACAAAGGGUUGCGAUACUGUGAGGUGGAGCUAAUCCCAAAAAGCCGGUCUCAGUUCGGAUUGGGGUCUGCAACUCGACCCCAUGAAGUCGGAGUCGCUAGUAAUCGCAGAUCAGCAACGCUGCGGUGAAUACGUUCCCGGGCCUUGUACACACCGCCCGUCAAGUCACGAAGUUGGUAACACCCGAAGCCGGUGGCCUAACCCUUGUGGGGGGAGCCGUCGAAGUGGACCGGCGAUUGGGACUAAGUCGUACCAAGUAGCCCA
Molecule: ribosomal RNA, 948 nt
Filed under: Arthrobacter sp.
Lineage: Bacteria; Bacillati; Actinomycetota; Actinomycetes; Micrococcales; Micrococcaceae
Description: bacterial SSU rRNA
Rfam family: Bacterial small subunit ribosomal RNA
Source: RNAcentral